RNAcentral lists this RNase P RNA (332 nucleotides) under Halorubrum sp. GN11_10-6_MGM. Its description in RNAcentral is "RNase P RNA component". It matches the Rfam family "Archaeal RNase P". Rfam says of the family: Ribonuclease P (RNase P) is a ubiquitous endoribonuclease, found in archaea, bacteria and eukarya as well as chloroplasts and mitochondria. Its best characterised activity is the generation of mature 5'-ends of tRNAs by cleaving the 5'-leader elements of precursor-tRNAs. Lineage: Archaea; Methanobacteriati; Methanobacteriota; Halobacteria; Halobacteriales; Haloferacaceae. The record is from RNAcentral.
GACAGAGGGAGCCCGACUCCCGUGCCUCCGGCAUGAGGAAAGUCCCCCCACCGGCCGGACAGGCGACCGGGCACACGCCCGGAGUCGGAGACGGCUGGCUCUGGAACAGCAACGACACCCCCCGCCCCGACCGAUGACCCGCGCGAACCGACCCGCAAGGGAAGGGAGUUAACCCGGAGAGGGCGCGUGGCUCUGCCACGUUUAGACGGGCGGGAACGGAUGGAACGGCGAAUCCUCGCCGGUGCAAGUCCGCGCCACAAGGUAGUCCGGCCACGGCGCGGACGCUCAGCCGAAUGUCGGGACGAACCGAAGGGGGCUUACUCCCCUCAGUC